GCUCCUGUAGUCUAAUGGAUAGAAUGCAAGCUUGCGGAGCUUGAGGUCGGAGUUCGAUUCUUCGCAGGGGCG
Molecule: transfer RNA, 72 nt
Filed under: archaeon
Lineage: Archaea
Also listed under: 1 other name
Description: tRNA-Arg
Rfam family: tRNA
About the family: Transfer RNA (tRNA) molecules are approximately 80 nucleotides in length.
Source: RNAcentral